ACGGGUGAGUAAUAUAUCGGAACGUACCGAGUAAUGGGGGAUAACUAAUCGAAAGAUUAGCUAAUACCGCAUAUUCUCUGAGGAGGAAAGCAGGGGACCUUCGGGCCUUGCGUUAUUCGAGCGGCCGAUAUCUGAUUAGCUAGUUGGUGGGGUAAAGGCCCACCAAGGCGACGAUCGGUAGCCGGCCUGAGAGGGUGAACGGCCACAUUGGGACUGAGACACGGCCCAAACUCCUACGGGAGGCAGCAGUGGGGAAUAUUGGACAAUGGGGGAAACCCUGAUCCAGCGACGCCGCGUGAGUGAAGAAGUAUUUCGGUAUGUAAAGCUCUAUCAGCAGGGAAGAAAAUGACGGUACCUGACUAAGAAGCCCCGGCUAACUACGUGCCAGCAGCCGCGGUAAUACGUAGGGGGCAAGCGUUAUCCGGAUUUACUGGGUGUAAAGGGAGCGCAGACGGCAAUGCAAGUCUGAAGUGAAAGGCGUGGGCUCAACCCAUGAACUGCUUUGGAAACUGUAUAGCUUGAGUGUCGGAGGGGUAAGCGGAAUUCCUAGUGUAGCGGUGAAAUGCGUAGAUAUUAGGAGGAACACCGGAGGCGAAGGCGGCUUACUGGACGACAACUGACGUUGAGGCUCGAAGGCGUGGGGAGCAAACAGGAUUAGAU
This 660-nucleotide ribosomal RNA is filed under the name uncultured bacterium. Its description in RNAcentral is "bacterial SSU rRNA". It matches the Rfam family "Bacterial small subunit ribosomal RNA", at positions 102 to 783 of the family's 1533-position model. The record is from RNAcentral.